This is a long non-coding RNA of Manacus vitellinus (golden-collared manakin), 322 nucleotides long. RefSeq lists it as uncharacterized. NCBI's taxonomy places the organism in Eukaryota, Metazoa, Chordata, Aves, Passeriformes, Pipridae. The transcript has 2 exons. The record is from RefSeq and is a predicted model, not a curated record.
CUGCUCCCGAGCCUCCAGCAGAAGGGGCUGGGGAAUUGACCCCUGCAAGGAGCCGUGGUGAUGCCAGCUGGACCCAGCUCUGGGCCUGCGUGAGGCUCCUGUGGUGCAAAGUUUACAGCUGAAUUUAAGACACUGAGGCUUUUAUCUAUUACCAAAUUCCCUGAAUACCCUGAACACAGGAAGUCUCAAAGCAGAAGGAGUUGGUCCUAAGUGGUUUAAGACUGAUUUCCCUCUCCCAGCUUACAGAGAGAUGUUCAGGCAUCUCAAAUCUGAGCUGCCCUCUGUACCUGCGCUUCUCACUGAAUAAAGGAACAUGAUUCUC